RNAcentral lists this ribosomal RNA (462 nucleotides) under uncultured Desulfobulbus sp. RNAcentral describes it as "bacterial SSU rRNA". It matches the Rfam family "Bacterial small subunit ribosomal RNA", at positions 925 to 1382 of the family's 1533-position model. Lineage: Bacteria; Pseudomonadati; Thermodesulfobacteriota; Desulfobulbia; Desulfobulbales; Desulfobulbaceae. The record is from RNAcentral.
ACAAGCGGUGGAGUAUGUGGUUCAAUUCGAUGCAACGCGAAGAACCUUACCUGGUCUUGACAUCCCGGAGACCCUUAGGAAACUAGGGGUGCUUCCAUCUGGAAGAAUCUGGAGACAGGUGCUGCAUGGCUGUCGUCAGCUCGUGUCGUGAGAUGUUGGGUUAAGUCCCGCAACGAGCGCAACCCUUGCCUUUAGUUGCCAGCAGUUCGGCUGGGCACUCUAAAGGGACUGCCGGUGUUAAACCGGAGGAAGGUGGGGAUGACGUCAAGUCCUCAUGGCCUUUAUGACCAGGGCUACACACGUACUACAAUGGCCGAUACAAAGGGCAGCGACACUGCGAGGUGAAGCCAAUCCCGUAAAAUCGGUCUCAGUCCGGAUUGGAGUCUGCAACUCGACUCCAUGAAGUUGGAAUCGCUAGUAAUCGUGGAUCAGCAUGCCACGGUGAAUACGUUCCCGGGCCUU